RNAcentral lists this ribosomal RNA (624 nucleotides) under uncultured bacterium. Its description in RNAcentral is "bacterial SSU rRNA". The stretch from base 1 to 536 matches the Rfam family "Bacterial small subunit ribosomal RNA", at positions 338 to 873 of the family's 1533-position model. The record is from RNAcentral.
CCUACGGGAGGCAGCAGCGACGAAUCUUCCGCAAUGGACGAAAGUCUGACGGAGCAAUGCCGCGUGCAGGAUGAAGCACUUCGGUGUGUAAACUGCUGUCAGGGUUUAACAACACAAUGAGUAAACCCCAGAGGAAGGGGCGGCUAACUCUGUGCCAGCAGCCGCGGUAAUACAGAGGCCCCGAGCGUUACGCGGUGUCAUUGGGCUUAAAGGGUGCGUAGGCGGAAGCGAAAGUGUCCUGUGAAAUCCCACGGCUCAACCGUGGAAUAGCGGGGCAUACUCCGUUUCUUGAGGCCGGUAAGGGUUGCUGGAACUGUAGGUGUAGCGGUGAAAUGCGUAGAUAUCUACAGGAACGCCGAUGGUGAAGACGAGCAACUGGGCCGGUUCUGACGCUGAGGCACGAAAGCGUGGGGAUCAAACAGGAUUAGAUACCCUGGUAGUCCACGACGUAACGAUGUGCACUAGAGUACCGGGUACGGUUACGUCGACCGACCCCCGGGUACCGGUACGUAAACGUACACUAACGUAGCACCGCCGUCGGGUAGGUACGGUCGCGAGGACGUAAACGUACAAGAAGUAGACGGCGUGAGACGUACGCCGACGGACGACGACGAGGGAGGUAGG